Long non-coding RNA from Hyla sarda, 1179 nucleotides. RefSeq lists it as uncharacterized. The record is from RefSeq and is a predicted model, not a curated record. Lineage: Eukaryota; Metazoa; Chordata; Amphibia; Anura; Hylidae. The transcript has 3 exons.
UGCUGGAGUGCGGCAGCCGAGGAUUUGACCUGUACUCCGGCGUAUAGGGGGCGCUGCAGCGACAGGUGUGGAUGAUCCGUCCACCCCACUUGUUUGUGCUGUAUAAACAGGGAACAUGAACCACAGAGCAUGAGGUCGGCCUGCAGAGGGCGCUGUAAUGACAGAUCUCCUUAUCCCCCUGGCUCCCUCUCCGCAGACAUGUCAGCUGUAGAACUAUGAGAGCGGUUUGGUAAUAGAGCGAAUGCCGGGAAUUGCUGAGCUCCCACUACCAGGAAGAGUUUUUUUUCUGCUUUAAUCCUUGCGUAAAGUUUUGUGCUGUAAUGAUUAACAGGAGGAUCCUUGAACUGCUUGUUUUAUAGUUUUACCGAUUUGCCUGCAUGUCUUCUCAUUGUGCUUGUCUUGCGUGCAGACCAGACUAUUCAUAAGGAUCCUGAAUGAAUGCACCAGACGAGUCAAUAAGUGCCCUUCAUGAUGCAGCUGAGAGCCCCUGUACUGCUUCCUCCUUGUCGGCACUGUGGCCGUCUUCUGUAAAGAAAACAAAGGCCAUAUAUCUGUUGUCCUCCUUGGGGCUACUGGUGACUUGGCCAAGAAAUACCUGUGGCAGGGUCUGUUUCAGUUAUAUCUCAAUGAGGUUAGUAGGGGCCACAGCUUUAGCUUCCAUGGAGCUGCUCUGACUGCACCAGAAAAGGCAGAGACCUUACUAUUUAAUGCAUUGAAGUCUCUGACCUGUCCGAAGAUGUUCACCCAGAUAGGUGUGCCCUGUCAAAGACCAGUUUCUAAAACUGACCCGCUACAGACAGCUGAAGACUGCUGAAAAUUACACAGCCUUGCACCAGGACAUAUUGACUUCACUGGCUGAAGAGGGACUCCAUGAAGCCGGCAGAUUAUUCUACUUAUCAGUUCCACCAUUUGCGUAUGCAGAAAUUGCACAAAACAUCAAUGCGAGCUGUCGGCCGCCACCUGGCGCAUGGCUGCGGGUAGUGCUGGAGAAACCUUUUGGUCAUGACUACGAGUCUGCAGAGCAGCUGGCCAAUGUUAUGCAGACGUUCUUCAGAGAAGAAGAGAUCUACAGGGUUGACCAUUACCUAGGAAAACAGGUGAGAUAAAGCCCGCUUUCUGCUGGUAACUAUAAUAUGCAGAGAGAGAACAGAGGACACAGACGCUAUCACAGUGCUGUUA